AUGAACGCUAGCGGCAGGCUUAAUACAUGCAAGUCGAGGGGCAGCACGAAUAGCAAUAUUUGGUGGCGACCGGCGCACGGGUGCGUAACACGUAUACAACCUACCUAUAACAGGGGGAUAGCCUUUCGAAAGAGAGAUUAAUACCCCAUAAUAAAUUGAGUGGCAUCACUUGAUUUUGAAAGCUCCGGCGGUUAUAGAUGGGUAUGCGUCUGAUUAGCUAGUUGGUGAGGUAAUGGCUCACCAAGGCGACGAUCAGUAGGGGAUCUGAGAGGACUAACCCCCACACUGGUACUGAGACACGGACCAGACUCCUACGGGAGGCAGCAGUAAGGAAUAUUGGUCAAUGGAGGCAACUCUGAACCAGCCAUGCCGCGUGCAGGAUGACGGCCCUAUGGGUUGUAAACUGCUUUUGUACCAGAGAAAACCCCAGUACGUGUACUGGGUUGAUAGUAUGGUAAGAAUAAGCAUCGGCUAACUUCGUGCCAGCAGCCGCGGUAAGACGAAGGAUGCAAGCGUUAUCCGGAUUCAUUGGGUUUAAAGGGUGCGUAGGCGGACUUGUAAGUCAGUGGUGAAAUCUCUCAGCUUAACUGAGAAACUGCCAUUGAUACUGCGGGUCUAGAGUAUAGAUGACGUUGGCGGAAUAUGACAUGUAGUGGUGAAAUACUUAGAUAUGUCAUAGAACACCGAUUGCGAAGGCAGCUAACGAAACUAUAACUGACGCUGAGGCACGAAAGUGCGGGGAUCAAACAGGAUUAGAUACCCUGGUAGUCCGCACCGUAAACGAUGAUUACUCGUUGUUGGCGAUAUGACAGUCAGCGACCAAGCGAAAGCGAUAAGUAAUCCACCUGGGGAGUACGCCGGCAACGGUGAAACUCAAAGGAAUUGACGGGGCCCGCACAAGCGGAGGAGCAUGUGGUU
This 918-nucleotide ribosomal RNA is filed under the name uncultured bacterium. Its description in RNAcentral is "bacterial SSU rRNA". It matches the Rfam family "Bacterial small subunit ribosomal RNA", at positions 29 to 946 of the family's 1533-position model. The record is from RNAcentral.